UCAUAUCAAUAAGCGGAGGAAAAGAAACCAACAGGGAUUGCCCCAGUAACGGCGAGUGAAGCGGCAACAGCUCAAAUUUGAAAUCUGGCCCCCCGCGGGCCCGAGUUGUACUUUGGAGAGGACGCUUCUGGCGCGGCGCCGUCCGAGUUCCCUGGAACGGGACGCCGGAGAGGGUGAGAGCCCCGUACGGGCGGCCGCCUAGCCUCUGCGAAGCUCCUUCGACGAGUCGAGUAGUUUGGGAAUGCUGCUCAAAAUGGGAGGUAAAUUUCUUCUAAAGCUAAAUACCGGCCAGAGACCGAUAGCGCACAAGUAGAGUGAUCGAAAGAUGAAAAGCACUUUGAAAAGAGGGUCAAACAGUACGUGAAAUUGUUGAAAGGGAAGCGCCUGUGGCCAGACUUGCGCCCCGCGGACCACCCGGCGCCUCGCGCGCCGGGGCACGCCAGCGGGGCGCAGGCCAGCAUCGGCUCUCUCGGGGGGACAAAGGCCGCGGGAACGUAGCGCCCUCGCGGCGUAUUAUAGCCCGCGGCGCCAUGCCCCCGGGGGGGCCGAGGACCGCGCUCCGGCAAGGAUGCUGGCGUAAUGGCCACCGGCGACCCGUCUUGAAACACGGACCAAGGAGUCAAGCAUUGGGGCGAGUGUCUGGGUGGCAAGCCCGCACGCGGAAUGAAAGUGAACGCAGGUGGGAGCUUCGGCGCACCACCGACCGAUCCUGAUGUCCUCGGAUGGAUUUGAGUAGGAGCCCCGCCGCUUGGACCCGAAAGAUGGUGAACUAUGCCUGUAUAGGGUGAAGCCAGAGGAAACUCUGGUGGAGGCCCGCAGCGGUUCUGACGUGCAAAUCGAUCGUCAAAUAUGGGCAUGGGGGCGAAAGACUAAUCGAACCAUCUAGUAGCUGGUUACCGCCGAAGUU
This 907-nucleotide ribosomal RNA is filed under the name Harringtonia lauricola. RNAcentral describes it as "LSU rRNA". It matches the Rfam family "Eukaryotic large subunit ribosomal RNA", at positions 38 to 968 of the family's 3401-position model. Lineage: Eukaryota; Fungi; Ascomycota; Sordariomycetes; Ophiostomatales; Ophiostomataceae. The record is from RNAcentral.